ACUUAUGUGAUGAACAAGAGAGUACCUUUUGGCUGGUGUCCCAGAGAGCGCAGGCAAGGUGGGAGCUGCGCACAGAAGCGAGAGGGAAGUUCACUUGGGAGCAUCCGUCCUGAACAGAGUAGGGAUGGCGCAGGCUGCGUUACGGCCGCAAUGAAGUACAAAUUAGGGUGGUACCGCGAACCUUCGCCCCUUUU
Molecule: non-coding RNA, 194 nt
Filed under: Acidaminococcus intestini
Lineage: Bacteria; Bacillati; Bacillota; Negativicutes; Acidaminococcales; Acidaminococcaceae
Description: T-box sequence
Rfam family: T-box leader
About the family: Uncharged tRNA acts as the effector for transcription antitermination of genes in the T-box leader family.
Source: RNAcentral